Molecule: ribosomal RNA, 423 nt
Filed under: uncultured bacterium
Lineage: Bacteria
Description: partial 16S ribosomal RNA
Rfam family: Bacterial small subunit ribosomal RNA
Source: RNAcentral
GAAUAUUGGACAAUGGGGGGAACCCUGAUCCAGCCAUGCCGCGUGUGUGAAGAAGGCCUUUUGGUUGUAAAGCACUUUAAGCGAGGAGGCGGAUCUCUUGGUUAAUACCUAGAGAUAGUGGACGGUACACGCAGAAUAAGACCCGGCGAACUCUUUGCCAGACGACGCGGUAAUACCGAGGGUGCAAGCGUUAAUCGGAUUUACUGGGCGUAAAGCGCGCGUAGGUGGCCAAUUAAGUCAAAUGUGAAAUCCCCGAGCUUAACUUGUGAAUUGCAUUCGAUACUGGUUGGCUAGAGUAUGGGAGAGGAUGGUAGAAUUCCAGGUGUAGCGGUGAAAUGCGUAGAGAUCUGGAGGAAUACCGAUGGCGAAGGCAGCCAUCUGGCCUAAUACUGACACUGAGGUGCGAAAGCAUGGGGAGCAAAC